UGAUUAGCUUGUUGGUGAGGUAAUGGCCUACCAAGACUGUGAUCAAUAGCUGAUUUGAGAGGAUGAUCAGCCACAUUGGGACUGAGACACGGCCCAAACUCCUACGGGAGGCAGCAGUGGGGAAUCUUGCACAAUGGAGGAAACUCUGAUGCAGCGAUGCCGCGUGAGUGAAGAAGGCCCUUGGGUUGUAAAGCUCUUUCGUCGGGGAAGAAAAUGACUGUACCCGAAUAAGAAGGUCCGGCUAACUUCGUGCCAGCAGCCGCGGUAAUACGAAGGGACCUAGCGUAGUUCGGAAUUACUGGGCUUAAAGAGUUCGUAGGUGGUUGAAAAAGUUGGUGGUGAAAUCCCAGAGCUUAACUCUGGAACUGCCAUCAAAACUUUUCAGCUAGAGUAUGAUAGAGGAAAGCAGAAUUUCUAGUGUAGAGGUGAAAUUCGUAGAUAUUAGAAAGAAUACCAAUUGCGAAGGCAGCUUUCUGGAUCAUUACUGACACUGAGGAACGAAAGCAUGGGUAGCGAAGAGGAUUAGAUACCCUCGUAGUCCAUGCCGUAAACGAUGUGUGUUAGACGUUGGAAAUUUAUUUUCAGUGUCGCAGCGAAAGCGAUAAACACACCGCCUGGGGAGUACGACCGCAAGGUUAAAACUCAAAUGAAUUGACGGGGACCCGCACAAGUAGUGGAGCAUGUGGUUUAAUUCGAAGAUACGCGCAGAACCUUACCAACACUUGACAUGUUCGUCGCGACUCUAAGAGAUUAGAGUUUUCGGUUCGGCCGGACGAAACACAGGUGCUGCAUGGCUGUCGUCAGCUCGUGUCGUGAGAUGUUGGGUUAAGUCCCGCAACGAGCGCAACCCUCACUUUUAGUUGCCAUCAUUAAGUUGGGCACUCUGAAAGAACUGCCAGUGAUAAGCUGGAGGAAGGUGGGGAUGACGUCAAGUCCUCAUGGCCCUUACGUGUUGGGCUACACACGUGCUACAAUGGUAUCUACAACAGGAAGCAAGACUGCGAAGUUAAGCAAAUCCCUAAAAGAUACCUCAGUUCGGAUUGCACUCUGCAACUCGAGUGCAUGAAGCUGGAAUUACUAGUAAUCGUGGAUCAGCGUGCCACGGUGAAUGCGUUCCCGGGUCUUGUACACACCGCCCGUCACACCAUGGGAGUUGGUUCUACCUUAAGGCAAGGUUUCAAACCCUUGACCACGGUAUAGUCAGCGACUGGGGUGAAGUCAUAACAAGGUAGCCG
This 1235-nucleotide ribosomal RNA is filed under the name uncultured bacterium. RNAcentral describes it as "bacterial SSU rRNA". It matches the Rfam family "Bacterial small subunit ribosomal RNA", at positions 238 to 1502 of the family's 1533-position model. The record is from RNAcentral.